Molecule: ribosomal RNA, 253 nt
Filed under: uncultured bacterium
Lineage: Bacteria
Description: partial 16S ribosomal RNA
Rfam family: Bacterial small subunit ribosomal RNA
Source: RNAcentral
UACGGAGGGUGCAAGCGUUAAUCGGAAUUACUGGGCGUAAAGCGCGCGUAGGCGGUUUUUUAAGUCGGAUGUGAAAGCCCCGGGCUCAACCUGGGAACUGCAUCCGAUACUGGAAGACUAGAAUGCGGGAGAGGGAGGUAGAAUUCCAUGUGUAGCAGUGAAAAGCGUAGAUAUAUGGAGGAAUACCAGUGGCGAAGGCGGCCUCCUGGCUCGACAUUGACGCUGAGGUGCGAAAGCGUGGGGAGCAAACGGG